UAAUUCAGUGAAACUCAAUCUUUCACGUUUUUUUUUUCUGUCUGUUAAAGAGAAGCUCUCUGUGUUUUGGACUUCAGGCUGGAGUGCAGUGGCCUGAUCACAGCUCAGCUCACCGCAGCCUUGACCUCCCAGGCUCAAUCAGUCUUCCCACCUCAGACUCCCAAGUAGCCAGGACUAAAGGCCCAAUUAACUUUUUUAGGAGUUUCAUGGAAAUAGGAUUCCACCAUGUUGCCCAGGCUGGUCUCAAACGCCUGGGCUCAAGUGAUCCUCCUGCUACCUCUACCUCCCAAAGUUCUGGAAUUGCAAGCAUGAGCCACCACACCUGACCUAAAUUGUAAAUUUAUAGUAUGUUUUCUGUUAUCAGAUUAAACUUAUAUUUGCAACCUCUUGAGUUUGUAAAAUGCUUUCAUUUAUAUUUGCCAUUAAAACCAAC
RNAcentral lists this long non-coding RNA (433 nucleotides) under Callithrix jacchus (white-tufted-ear marmoset). Its description in RNAcentral is "lncRNA (ENSCJAG00000073366.1)". Lineage: Eukaryota; Metazoa; Chordata; Mammalia; Primates; Cebidae. The record is from RNAcentral.